This 1481-nucleotide ribosomal RNA is filed under the name Lacticaseibacillus rhamnosus. RNAcentral's name for it is "bacterial SSU rRNA". It matches the Rfam family "Bacterial small subunit ribosomal RNA". Lineage: Bacteria; Bacillati; Bacillota; Bacilli; Lactobacillales; Lactobacillaceae. The record is from RNAcentral.
AGCACUUGGGGGGGGUGCCUAAUACAUGCAGUCGAACGAGUUCUGAUUAUUGAAAGGUGCUUGCAUCUUGAUUUAAUUUUGAACGAGUGGCGGACGGGUGAGUAACACGUGGGUAACCUGCCCUUAAGUGGGGGAUAACAUUUGGAAACAGAUGCUAAUACCGCAUAAAUCCAAGAACCGCAUGGUUCUUGGCUGAAAGAUGGCGUAAGCUAUCGCUUUUGGAUGGACCCGCGGCGUAUUAGCUAGUUGGUGAGGUAACGGCUCACCAAGGCAAUGAUACGUAGCCGAACUGAGAGGUUGAUCGGCCACAUUGGGACUGAGACACGGCCCAAACUCCUACGGGAGGCAGCAGUAGGGAAUCUUCCACAAUGGACGCAAGUCUGAUGGAGCAACGCCGCGUGAGUGAAGAAGGCUUUCGGGUCGUAAAACUCUGUUGUUGGAGAAGAAUGGUCGGCAGAGUAACUGUUGUCGGCGUGACGGUAUCCAACCAGAAAGCCACGGCUAACUACGUGCCAGCAGCCGCGGUAAUACGUAGGUGGCAAGCGUUAUCCGGAUUUAUUGGGCGUAAAGCGAGCGCAGGCGGUUUUUUAAGUCUGAUGUGAAAGCCCUCGGCUUAACCGAGGAAGUGCAUCGGAAACUGGGAAACUUGAGUGCAGAAGAGGACAGUGGAACUCCAUGUGUAGCGGUGAAAUGCGUAGAUAUAUGGAAGAACACCAGUGGCGAAGGCGGCUGUCUGGUCUGUAACUGACGCUGAGGCUCGAAAGCAUGGGUAGCGAACAGGAUUAGAUACCCUGGUAGUCCAUGCCGUAAACGAUGAAUGCUAGGUGUUGGAGGGUUUCCGCCCUUCAGUGCCGCAGCUAACGCAUUAAGCAUUCCGCCUGGGGAGUACGACCGCAAGGUUGAAACUCAAAGGAAUUGACGGGGGCCCGCACAAGCGGUGGAGCAUGUGGUUUAAUUCGAAGCAACGCGAAGAACCUUACCAGGUCUUGACAUCUUUUGAUCACCUGAGAGAUCAGGUUUCCCCUUCGGGGGCAAAAUGACAGGUGGUGCAUGGUUGUCGUCAGCUCGUGUCGUGAGAUGUUGGGUUAAGUCCCGCAACGAGCGCAACCCUUAUGACUAGUUGCCAGCAUUUAGUUGGGCACUCUAGUAAGACUGCCGGUGACAAACCGGAGGAAGGUGGGGAUGACGUCAAAUCAUCAUGCCCCUUAUGACCUGGGCUACACACGUGCUACAAUGGAUGGUACAACGAGUUGCGAGACCGCGAGGUCAAGCUAAUCUCUUAAAGCCAUUCUCAGUUCGGACUGUAGGCUGCAACUCGCCUACACGAAGUCGGAAUCGCUAGUAAUCGCGGAUCAGCACGCCGCGGUGAAUACGUUCCCGGGCCUUGUACACACCGCCCGUCACACCAUGAGAGUUUGUAACACCCGAAGCCGGUGGCGUAACCCUUUUAGGGAGCGAGCCGUCUAAGGUGAACCAAUAUG